Molecule: non-coding RNA, 2239 nt
Organism: Manis javanica (Malayan pangolin)
Lineage: Eukaryota; Metazoa; Chordata; Mammalia; Pholidota; Manidae
Source: RefSeq, a predicted model, not a curated record
CCUGCGUUUUUGCAUUUUUCUCUGACCUGAAUGACUCUGGGCUUCUUUCCCUGCCUCAACUAUAACAUCUAUCUGAUAGGAAUCAAGUUUCUACUCUCCUCUUCCACUAAACUUCCUUUAUGAUCAGUUCACUGAGCCAUGUGUUGCGGCAGACUAGAUUCUUAAGGUCUUUGUUUCUGAUGCUGCAGCUCUGAGACCUGCCUGCCCAGUGAAGUCAGGUCUGUCCCUGCCUUUGCUGUGACCCUGGACCUGCCAGACCUUGGUGAGCUGGCUUCGAUUCCCAAAGAACCUUGCCCGGUACCACCUCUCACAGGAAGAAAGAUAAACAGAUCAGGAGGCGGAGAUCUCGAGAGGGAGAGAUGCCCUAGGAGCGUCAAUCAAUGGGUACAACCUGAAACCCUAUCUGUAGUAUUUAAAGCCAACACUGAGCAUGUCACACGUUCUAAGCACUUCUGAUGCCUUCAAAGAGAGACCAUGUGUCAGGCAAAGAGCACAGCUAAUUCCUCCAAAAGAAGCUGAGGCCCAGAGGGAGAAGAAAUGAAUUGCCAAGGUCAUGACACAAGCAAUAGGUGACAGAGUCAGGGUUCAAGUCCAAGCCCUUCUAAAACUCUCCAACUAGAGCUUUUUCCAGCUCCUCUGUGCUGUGAACACAUGAAUGAACGCUGACCUAUUCCUUAAUCUAAGCACCCUGCACUGUGCUGACAGUAGCUGAUGGAGAAUCACAGCUAAAGUGCAUUCUAUAGCUGAUACCACGUCAUGGAUUUUGGCCUCAAAUCGAGCGUAAUCUGGGAAUGGAAACAAAGACGGCAAGUUUGGUUCAGUGCCUUCAGAGAGUUAGAAAUGCUGCACAGUCAAGGCGGCGGCUGUUCCCCGCUGGUGCUCCUUCCUUUGCCGAGCAGCAGGGAGAUGCGCGACUCAGUAGCGGACACACACGGGUCAACUGCUCAGCAUUAUUUAUCUGCAGACACUUAUUAAGAGGAGAAAGACAAAUCAGUUACUUCCCAAAAGGUAACUAGAAAACAAAUGCCAACAAAUCCCCAACGUGUGAAGAGUCCACGGGGAGAGGUGGGCGAGGUGGGUGUCAUUAAAGAAGGGCAAUAUAAGGUAUCGUUUUGGUGAUGGAAAUGUUCGCUGUCUUGACUGGGGUAGUAGAUACAGCUACCUGCACAUGUGAUAAAAUGACACAGAACUAACUACACACAUAUGCUCACACAAAUGCGUAUAAGUGAGCCUGGGAAAACUGGAGUAAGAUUGAUGGAUUAUGUCAAUGUCAAUAUCAGUAUCCUGGCUGUGAUAAUUGCUAUAGUUUAUAAAACCGUUGGGGGAAACUGAAAGAGGUAUGUGGGAGCUCCCUGUAUUUCUUACAACUGCAUAUGAAUCUAUAAUUUUCUCAUAAUGAGAGUCUUAAUUUAGAAAAGAGGGCCAAAAAAAAAAAAGAAAGCUAAAACAAAACAAUAAUCCAAGGAAUUAUCAGUGUUAUGGGGGUUUAAGGUGCGUAUAGCUACUGUCAGUCUGACAGACCAGAGAAUCAACUGUUUGAUGGUAAAUUGUGUAAAAUAAUGCCAUUUAAUUGCAGUAAGUUUUUCUGUGGGGGUAGGGCAAGGACUACAAAAAGCUGAUCAUUUGGGAUCAAAUCUUCAUUUUUGCCUAUAACUUUAAUAUAAAAAAGUCCACAACUUCAUCAAUUCUAAGAUACACAGUACAUUUCAAUCAGCUUCUAGGAGGUCAGAAUUAGAAAUAGGGUUACAGAACACUCUCAUAUUAAAUCUAUUUUAGAAACAUUCAAAUUUGAAAAAAUAUAUGCAUCUAAAAAAAAGAAACAGCAGUAUUAUAUCAAACUGUUUCUUCAAAGAAGAGAUAUUUUUGCCAUAUGUCCAUCCAAUGAAAAGAAUGAAAGAACAGACAGGUUUUAAGAUACUGAUUAACACAGUCAGCAUGUAAAGUAAAAGCUCCUGAAGUUUUGAUAUUGUUGAUCACAACUUGUCCCGUCAUUCCCUAGGCACAACAAUGUCUUGCUUUAGAAAAAUCCAGGAGGUGAGAGGCUCAAUUUAUGCUCAAGAUAAAUGCGAAAAUGUUAGUUCAAAUUAUAAAUGGUUCUUUUAAAUACAAAGAGACUCGUCAUGAAGAAUUUUAACAGAAGUCCUCAGUUUCAAAAACAAUUUGUUUCCAAUUCAAUUUAUUCAUAACUUUUCAUGAAAACAAGAACGAAAUGAAUAUUGUAAAAGAUGACCUACUUACA